GGACCGCCGGGUCCUAGGGAAGCACGGCGGGUGGCAGUCCCCGCUCGCUUCCUGUCCUGAGGGCGGGGGCGGAAUGGGAGGCUCCAGCUGUGUGUUUAGGCAGAUAUGAGUGGAGCACCUGUUAUGAUGAGCCCAGCAGCACAAGGGUAACCAGAAGAGUUCCCAUCCAGAAGUUACUGUGAGGUCUGGGGACCAACCGUGGUUAUUUCUAAAGGAGAAAGAUGC
RNAcentral lists this long non-coding RNA (225 nucleotides) under Bos indicus x Bos taurus (hybrid cattle). Its description in RNAcentral is "lncRNA (ENSBIXG00000013654.1)". The record is from RNAcentral. Lineage: Eukaryota; Metazoa; Chordata; Mammalia; Artiodactyla; Bovidae.